CCUACGGGUGGCAGCAGUGGGGGAUAUUGCACAAUGGGGGAAACCCUGAUGCAGCGACGCCGCGUGGGCGAAGAAGUAUCUCGGUAUGUAAAGCCCUAUCAGCCGGGGAGAAGAAAUGACGGUACCUGCCUAAGAAGCACCGGCUAAAUACGUGCCAGCAGCCGCGGUAAUACGUAUGGUGCAAGCGUUAUCCGGAGUUACUGGGGGUAACGGGAGCGAAGGCGGUACGGCAAGCCUGAUGUGAAAGCUCGCGGCCCAACCGCGGGACUGCCUUGGGACCGACUGGGCUGGAGUGCCGGAGAGGUAGGCGGAAUGCCUGGUGUAGCGGUGAAAUGCGUAGAUAUUAGGAGGAACACCAGUGGCGAAGGCGGCCUACUGGACGGUGACUGACGCUGAGGCUCGAAAGCGUGGGGAGCAAACAGGAUUAGAUACCCUUGUAGUC
This 442-nucleotide ribosomal RNA is filed under the name uncultured bacterium. RNAcentral describes it as "partial 16S ribosomal RNA". It matches the Rfam family "Bacterial small subunit ribosomal RNA", at positions 338 to 795 of the family's 1533-position model. The record is from RNAcentral.